UAUUGGCUUAGUUACGGGGCACAAAUUAGCUUGGGUUUAAUGUUUUGUUUGAUCCUUUGUGCUAAGGCCUUUUGAGUGGACUAUUCUUAUAUUAUAGAUUGUCCUUCAACCAGUCUUGGACAUUU
Small nucleolar RNA from Beta vulgaris subsp. vulgaris (sugar beet), 125 nucleotides. RefSeq annotates it as small nucleolar RNA U19. The record is from RefSeq and is a predicted model, not a curated record. The transcript has a single exon. NCBI's taxonomy places the organism in Eukaryota, Viridiplantae, Streptophyta, Magnoliopsida, Caryophyllales, Amaranthaceae.